Molecule: transfer RNA, 84 nt
Filed under: Actinomycetota bacterium
Lineage: Bacteria; Bacillati; Actinomycetota
Description: Actinobacteria bacterium (freshwater metagenome) tRNA-Leu
Rfam family: tRNA
About the family: Transfer RNA (tRNA) molecules are approximately 80 nucleotides in length. Their secondary structure includes four short double-helical elements and three loops (D, anti-codon, and T loops).
Source: RNAcentral
GCGGGAGUGGUGAAAUGGCAGACACGCAGGUCUUAGGAACCUGUGUCCUCGGACGUGUGGGUUCAAGUCCCACCUCCCGCACCA